GAUGAACGCUGGCGGCGUGCCUAAUACAUGCAAGUCGAGCGAACGGACGAGAAGCUUGCUUCUCUGAUGUUAGCGGCGGACGGGUGAGUAACACGUGGAUAACCUACCUAUAAGACUGGGAUAACUUCGGGAAACCGGAGCUAAUACCGUAUAAUAUUUUGAACCGCAUGGUUCAAAAGUGAAAGACGGUCUUGCUGUCACUUAUAGAUGGAUCCGCGCUGCAUUAGCUAGUUGGUAAGGUAACGGCUUACCAAGGCAACGAUGCAUAGCCGACCGGAGAGGGUGAUCGGCGACACUGGAACGGAGCCACGGUCAAGAGUCCUACGGGAGGCAGCAGUAGGGAAUCGUACGCAACGGGCGAAAGCCUGACGGAGUAACGCCGAGUGAGUGAUGAAGGCCUUCGGAUCGUAAAAAUCUGUUAUGAGGGAAGAACAUAUGUGGAAGUAAAUGUGCACAGCUUGACGGUAACGAAUAAGAAAGCAACGGCUAACUACGUG
This 497-nucleotide ribosomal RNA is filed under the name uncultured bacterium. Its description in RNAcentral is "partial 16S ribosomal RNA". It matches the Rfam family "Bacterial small subunit ribosomal RNA", at positions 28 to 507 of the family's 1533-position model. The record is from RNAcentral.